Molecule: non-coding RNA, 431 nt
Organism: Kluyvera intermedia
Lineage: Bacteria; Pseudomonadati; Pseudomonadota; Gammaproteobacteria; Enterobacterales; Enterobacteriaceae
Source: Rfam
GGUGGUUAAUUCUUAACCAUUGAUGCGGAUCCCAAAUAAACAGUAUCUUUGAAAAAACUUAGCGACAUUUAUCACUUUUUGAUGAAUAACGACUGGACAAAAGUCUUCACAAUUGUUGUACUGUAACUCGACACAGCAUUUGUGUCGUUUUUCAUGUAAAGGUAAUAUUGAUGUCUAAGAUUAAAGGUAACGUUAAGUGGUUUAAUGAAUCCAAAGGAUUCGGUUUCAUUACUCCGGAAGAUGGCAGCAAAGACGUGUUCGUACACUUCUCUGCAAUCCAGAGCAAUGGUUUCAAAACUCUGGCUGAAGGUCAGCGUGUAGAGUUCGAAAUCACUAACGGUGCCAAAGGUCCUUCUGCUGCUAACGUAAUGGCUAUCUAAGUUAGCAAUAAGACAGAAUUAUAAAACCCGCCUCUAAGGCGGGUUUUUUUU